RNAcentral lists this long non-coding RNA (266 nucleotides) under Gallus gallus (chicken). The record is from RNAcentral. Lineage: Eukaryota; Metazoa; Chordata; Aves; Galliformes; Phasianidae.
GGCGCUUCCUGAACACAUGUCCCACUCGACUGCAGGGAACAAUCUCCAAGCUGCCACCACACAUCCACACUCGAAAAGAGAGCUCAAAAUUUUCUCCUCCCCAGAUGUCCAUCUGAGUAUCAUAUUUUCCCAGGUGGUUAAACCAGGAUUUGUUAAUCACAAAGAUGCCUCCUGCUAUGACAGGGGUUCUUAUAGACUGAGUUGGGUCCGUUCUGGACAUCUUCUGCUCUAUAGGAAUCUGCUCCCACUUAAAGUGAAGGCUCCAG